Molecule: long non-coding RNA, 311 nt
Filed under: Homo sapiens (human)
Lineage: Eukaryota; Metazoa; Chordata; Mammalia; Primates; Hominidae
Description: non-protein coding lnc-ZC3H12C-1:2
Source: RNAcentral
ACUUCUGUUUCUGAACCAGAGUGGGUUCUCAGAGUCUUGGCUUUCUUUCUGCAGCCUGUCUGCCUCCUAAGCAGCUGAGAUUGUUUCCCCACUACAGAUGAGUGAUAAGCUGACUGCACCCUCACGGAUAAUUCUAUCAAAUAUCACACUGGCCCAUUAUAUUGAUGACAUUAGGCUGACUGGAUCCAGUGAGCGAGACGUAGCAAACACAUUGGACUUAUUGGUGAGACAUUUGCAUGCCACGUGAUGGGAAAUAAAUCCAACUAAAAUUCAGAGACCUUUUACCUCAGUAAAAUUUCUAGGGCUCCAGU